This is a long non-coding RNA of Mesocricetus auratus (golden hamster), 929 nucleotides long. RefSeq lists it as uncharacterized. The transcript is spliced from 5 exons. NCBI's taxonomy places the organism in Eukaryota, Metazoa, Chordata, Mammalia, Rodentia, Cricetidae. The record is from RefSeq and is a predicted model, not a curated record.
CUUCCGGCAGCAAACUUGAGGAUCCUGUCCUUCAUGGCUUCUGGGAAGGAAGACUGAGUUUUCCUUGGCCGCCACCAGCUUCCGCAGCGUCUGGUUUCGACGGCGAAUGUCCUCUUCUAGUAUAUUCUGAAUUUUCUUUACUCGUGGGAAAGUCUUGUUAUUCCCCCGAUGGAAAUACCGUUUCGGAGGUUCUUCCUUCAUAACGUUUAGGCGCAUCGGUGGCAGUGAGCAGCUUGCACUUUUCCCAUUUGUGUUGCUCUGUGCCAGGGCUGGUGUUUCUCACACGGUAGAAGACCGUGUGUAAGGCUGCAGAGGCAGAGAUGAUGUCUGAUUUCUGGGCAGCAACAAGGAAGGGACUUGGAGAUUGUGUGCUGCGACUGUUGGCCUGGAGACAAGAGGACCUUUGUACCAGCUGGGGCCUUUUUGGUUGUAAAACAUCAGAAUAACUUAUUCAAGGGGAGAGGAGACAGAGAUCUGGGUUCGUUUAUCCAUUCUCCUGGCACCAGGUGAAGAAGCUGUCAUCUCACGGAUGCAUGCAUCCACCGAGUCAUGCGUAUGUGCUCAAAGAAGAACAAAAUGCCUGGUCUGUGUGGUUAACAUCAAAUUUCAAGAGUGAGGCCUGGGGAAAUACCCCAGGGGACUGAAUUUGAAUCCCAGAAAGCAUGUAGAAAGAAUCCAGAACAGUCCUCCAUCAAGGAAGGUUGUCUUCUUGGACAAAGUUCACAACUUCACAUGGAAGCACAUGGGACUGUAAGGAAAUGGACUGCAUCCUAGAUAGCCAUAUUAGUCAAAUCCACUCUCAUGACCUACAGGAGGACUAAUAUUGUGGUUGAACAUCCCUUUCCUUACAUCUGGAUUCCCUGCUCUUGUUAUCUAGAGUCUGUCUUAGAUUUGUUAAUUAUCUUUUUUUUAAAAAUUAAAAAAAUUUA